This is a non-coding RNA of Biomphalaria pfeifferi, 357 nucleotides long. NCBI's taxonomy places the organism in Eukaryota, Metazoa, Mollusca, Gastropoda, Planorbidae. The record is from the annotation of a GenBank genome assembly.
GUGUGACCAUCUUCAUUCAUCACCUAUUUUAUGGUGAAAAAUAAAAGCGCCUGAUCAUAAACAAAUAAUAAGCACCUAUUUGUGAAAAAAUAAUGAAAACACAAGUUUACUAUUUUACAGAAAUAUUAAAAAUAAGCACUUAUUUAUACACAAAUAAUGAAAACAAAUUGAAAAAAUAAGCAAUUAUUCGUGAACAAAUAAUGAAAAUAAGUGCCUAUUCAUAAACACAUAAUCAUUCAGAAAUGGUUUUUAAAAAUAAAUAUGAUUUGGGCUAAAAUUUAAUAAUUACUAUUUUGAUUGGAAUAUUAGUCUAUACUGUAAAUGUGUGUCUAACCCUUCUUGAAAUUUUCAUCUUCU